This is a non-coding RNA of Pangasius djambal, 73 nucleotides long. Lineage: Eukaryota; Metazoa; Chordata; Actinopteri; Siluriformes; Pangasiidae. The record is from the annotation of a GenBank genome assembly.
GUCGUGCUAGCUCAGUGGUUAUGGCUUCGAGUUGCAGAUAAGAGGGUCGUGUGUUCAAAUCCCAGCAGCGCCA